UCCCUGGUAGCUCAGAUGGUAAAGCAUCUGCCUACAAUGUGGGAGACCCAGGUUCAAUCCCUGGGUUGGGAA
This 72-nucleotide transfer RNA is filed under the name Odocoileus virginianus texanus. It matches the Rfam family "tRNA". From Rfam's summary of the family: Transfer RNA (tRNA) molecules are approximately 80 nucleotides in length. Their secondary structure includes four short double-helical elements and three loops (D, anti-codon, and T loops). The record is from Rfam by way of RNAcentral. RNAcentral also lists the same sequence under 2 other names. Lineage: Eukaryota; Metazoa; Chordata; Mammalia; Artiodactyla; Cervidae.